UCGCACUGCGGCAAGAGCGUCACUCGUCUGCGAACAAGUGACCCAAGAAACUCUUCAGGCUCCCCUGAAUUCUUUCUGCCCACCUAUCUUAGAAAUGUUAAAAGUGCUUCGACUGGCAACAGGAGAAAUACUUGUCAGAAUGCGAGGCGUGCAAGCCUCACGUGCCCUGUAGUAUCCGUAUUCUCCUGUGCUCGAAAAGAAUCCGACUUAACAAGUGGCUAUGGAAAGAAAUAUAAUAAUAUGGACUAGCCAGCUUAUCUACAUAGCAAUGAUCUGCGUCUUACUUCUAACAGCAUGUAAUUCUCACGAACGAUCAACAGAAGGCAGCAUAGUCUGGCAGUUUGAGUCAUGGAAAAAAUGGGCCACAACUGAAGAACUGGAAAUAUCUAUAGCCGAUAGCUUUCAUCCUCAUUUCUAUGAAAAACAAAAAAAUGUCACUGCACAGCAAGGACAAACUGUUUAUCUUCACUGCAUUGUGAAAAAUCUCGGAGAUAGGACGGUCUCGUGGAUUAGAAGGCGUGACUUUCAUGUGCUCACCGUGGGGGAAACUACUUACACAGCAGAAGGAAGAUUCGAGGUCGUCCAUCUGCCACGUAGUAAUAAUUGGAUUCUGAAAAUUAAAUUAGUCGAGAUUGCUGAUGGGGGAGACUAUGAAUGCCAGGUUAACACGCACCCUCUCAUGAGCUACUUCGUCUAUUUAACAGUCCUUGUGCCUGUGGCUUCUAUCCUGGGGGAAAAGGACUUGCUUGUAAGCAGCGGAAGUUAUAUCAACCUCACGUGCAUUAUCAGACAUAGUCCCUCACCCCCAAUGUUCGUGUUCUGGUAUCACAACGACCGCAUGAUUAAUUACGACUCAUCUCGCGGGAAAAUUACUCUAAAGAAGAAGGAAAACACCGCCCUGAGCACCCUCUAUAUUAAGAACGCCAAGGCAUUGAACUCUGGAAACUACACAUGCGGUCCUUCGAACGCUGAUGCAACCAGCGUUACUGUGCAUGUGGUCAACGGCGAGAAACCAGCAGCAAUGCAGCACGAUUCUGAGACAACGUCAGCAAGUAUUAGCUUCACGAGCUUUACAUCCUUUCUAUAUUUUGGUGGUACUUUGUUUAUUGUUGUCCUUUCAUCUUGACCUCUACUUCUAAAUCUUUUAUCACUCACAGUGCCUGUUCCGUCCGAAAAAAAACUCCAAACUGCUCCUGGUGAACGAGGAUCUUUGUACUAUCCAAAGUGAACUACUGAUGAUCUAUGCUAACAAUUCGAAUCGUCGCUGUCUCCAAACUACGGCAGUUUCAUGAAGCUCCUUAUACUAUCUGAAGUAAAUUACUGAUGAUUUGUGUUAACAGUUCGAAAAGAUGUCGCUAAGCUUCCCCUUGUGGGCGAAGGUGGAAACACGAUCCAAAAUGAAAUAAUUGAGAAUCAAGCCAAACUCUACCAAUUUAACAAUUGAGCGAAUAGCUUAUAAAAUAACAAGUUUUAUAAGUAAAAGUGACAUAUUAGAAUGUUCUAACAAACACACAUACAAUGACGUAAGAUAUUUAUAUGUCUGUGUGGGAUGACUUAGAAUAGUGGCAAAGUGAAAAAAGAAAAUACAUCCUAGUCACUUUGGGCAAGAAAACAGACUAUAACUGUUUAGUAGGGCUGGUGAUAUUUUAAUAUGUUGUUAAUCCUCUCUCUUUCUCUACCCUAAAACCAAUUGAUGUAAUCAUAUUGAUGAUCUGUGAUCGAAGCUUCUGUAUGUAUAACUUCAAUUCGUAAAACAUAUAAUCUUUCCAUGCACUUAUUAUCAUUAAUAAUAAACUAUAUUUAAUGACUCUGAGUAAGAGUAUUUUUUGUUAUCUGUAAAGAAAAAUGACUUAACGU
This 1857-nucleotide unclassified non-coding RNA is filed under the name Limulus polyphemus (Atlantic horseshoe crab). RNAcentral's name for it is "zwei Ig domain protein zig-8-like, transcript variant X1". The record is from RNAcentral. Lineage: Eukaryota; Metazoa; Arthropoda; Merostomata; Xiphosura; Limulidae.